GAAUUUUGGACAAUGGGCGACAGCCUGAUCCAGCAAUGCCGCGUGCAGGAUGAAGUCCUUCGGGUUGUAAACUGCUUUUGUACGGAACGAAAAGCUUUGGGUUAAUACCCUGGCUUCAUUACGGUACCGUCAUAAUAAGCACCGGCUAACUCCGUGCCCGCAGCCGCGGUAAUACGUAGGGUGCAAGCGUUAAUCGGAAUUACUGGGCGGAAAGCGUGCGCAGGCGGUUUUGGAAGACAGAGGUGAAAUCCCCGGGCUCAACCUGGGAACUGCCUUUGUGACUGCAAGGCUAGAGUACGGCAGAGGGGGGUGGAAUUCCGCGUGUAGCAGUGAAAUGCGUAGAUAUGCGGAGGAACACCGAUGGCGAAGGCAACCCCCUGGGCCUGUACUGACGCUCAUGCACGAAAGCGUGGGGAGCAAA
This 421-nucleotide ribosomal RNA is filed under the name uncultured bacterium. RNAcentral's name for it is "partial 16S ribosomal RNA". It matches the Rfam family "Bacterial small subunit ribosomal RNA", at positions 359 to 772 of the family's 1533-position model. The record is from RNAcentral.